CGGGACGGGUGAGUAAUGUCUGGGAAACUGCCUGAUGGAGGGGGAUAACUACUGGAAACGGUAGCUAAUACCGCAUAACGUCGCAAGACCAAAGAGGGGGACCUUCGGGCCUCUUGCCAUCGGAUAUGCCCAGAUGGGAUUAGCUAGUAGGUGGGGUAACGGCUCACCUAGGCGACGAUCCCUAGCUGGUCUGAGAGGAUGGCCAGCCACACUGGAACUGAGACACGGUCCAG
This 233-nucleotide ribosomal RNA is filed under the name uncultured bacterium. RNAcentral describes it as "partial 16S ribosomal RNA". It matches the Rfam family "Bacterial small subunit ribosomal RNA", at positions 100 to 334 of the family's 1533-position model. The record is from RNAcentral.